UUCACCAGGACAGAUAAGCCCACAAAACCUUUGCGUCUCUUACAUACUAGACACAUAAGAUUAGGGGAACUAACCGUUUCCGUUUCUGAGGGAAGACAUCGCCUCGCCCCGCCUCGCCUCCUCGCGUGGGAGGCAGCCAGUCCUCCUGGCGGCCCUUGGGGACUGCGCCGGGUGCCGGGCAUUGUGGGAGUGAGGAGGCGGCAGCCAAUAGGGCUCGCGCUCCGCCGCCAGGCGCGACGCACGAGGAUGAGGGCGGAGAGCGCCUCCGCCUCACAAGCCGUGGCUGCAGUUGCCUUGGAGGAGGAAGUUCAUGGCUGCACACUUCUGUGUGCCUGUCGCUCAGGAAGGCAUCCUCCAGGACGGAGGCAGGGUGAAAGAAGAAAGAGGAAGCUCUCUGGGAUCUUUCUUAUAAGGGUGCUAAUAUUAUUCAUGAAGACUUUACUGUCAUGACCUAAUCAUCUUCUAAAAGCCCCAUGUCCUAAUACCAUCACAUUGAGGACUAACUUUCAACACAGGAUUUUUUUGGCGGAGGCUGGAUACAACAUUCAGUCCAUAGCACUUAUUGUGUGUGAAUCACAGAGGAUUCAAUAUGCAUGUGAUAAGCUGUCAAGGAAUAUGUAGGAUGAGUGAGAGAUAAUACAGAAAUAAAUAUGAUAUCAAGCAGGGGUUGGAAAAUUAUGGUCCAUAAACCAUGUCCAUCCUGCCACCUGUUUUUGGA
RNAcentral lists this long non-coding RNA (718 nucleotides) under Mustela putorius furo (domestic ferret). RNAcentral's name for it is "lncRNA (ENSMPUG00000029401.1)". The record is from RNAcentral. Lineage: Eukaryota; Metazoa; Chordata; Mammalia; Carnivora; Mustelidae.